CGCAAGACCUUGCGCUGAUUGAGCGGCCGAUGUCAGAUUAGCUAGUUGGUGAGGUAAAGGGCUCACCAAGGCGACGAUCUGUAGCGGGUCUGAGAGGAUGAUCCGCCACACUGGAACUUGAGACACGGUCCAGACUCCUACGGGAGGCAGCAGUGGGGAAUUUUGGACAAUGGGGCAACCCUGAUCCAGCCAUGCCGCGUGAGUGAAGAAGGCCUUCGGGUUGUAAAGCUCUUUCGGCCGGGAAGAAAUCGCAUGGGUUAAUACCCUGUGCGGAUGACGGUACCGGCAUAAGAAGCACCGGCUAACUACGUG
Molecule: ribosomal RNA, 312 nt
Filed under: uncultured bacterium
Lineage: Bacteria
Description: bacterial SSU rRNA
Rfam family: Bacterial small subunit ribosomal RNA
Source: RNAcentral